Molecule: long non-coding RNA, 1772 nt
Organism: Papaver somniferum (opium poppy)
Lineage: Eukaryota; Viridiplantae; Streptophyta; Magnoliopsida; Ranunculales; Papaveraceae
Exons: 2
Source: RefSeq, a predicted model, not a curated record
AUUUCUUAACCGCAUAAGGUCCACGCGAACAUGAUUUAUUCUCACACCGUCAAGAAAAGAUUCCUUUUAAAACGAACAACAUACUUGUACUCAUUUAUGUGACCCAAAGUGAAGAACAAACCACUAAGGCUCACAGGGGAGAUCCGACUUAAGAGCAUCCACGAAGACAACAAUCAAAUAAUACAUGUUGCAUAAACCAACUCAAUCCAAUUCAUCUUCGGACAACAAUCAAAUACAGUGAAGAUCAUCAUCUAUCUGUAAGUUAAUAGCAUGUGUAUGUGACUGAGUGUAUGUGAGUCUGGUUAUGAGAGUGUGCCGUGUGCACCUGUGCUGUGUAGAGAGGAAGAGUGAACGAGUCGAGUAUAUAUACUCAGGUCCCCUGUAACAGAAGAAUAAUCUUUUCUAAUCAAUAUUAUUCAAAACCUUAAUCAAUGUAGACAUACGAUUGUCAAUAUGGUAUCAGACUCAGAAAUUAAAAUUUCUGAGGGUAAUCGAUCCUUUCCUGUGAUUUCUUCACCACCACCACCACCACCACCACCAUGUCGUUAUCUCUUCAUCUUCUUCACCACGAUCAAAUCUCUUCAUCACCUUCUGCUGUUACUGAAAUCGGAGACUCAAAUUAUGUUUUGAAAGGUAAAGUCAUCACAAAUUUGUGCUCAAUUUGCUCCGAUCUCAUCUCUUACAACACAAAUCUGUCAAAUCUGCGAUUUCUAGUUCUGCAUCAACAGUUGCUGCACUAUCAUCUGCUGUGUCAAUGAUUGCGUCCUACAUGUUGCUGGUGCGCUUAGUGGAUAGUUGGAUUCCCAUCCGUUGUGACUAUAAGUGUUGCUGCUUUGCUACAACUUAUACUUCUUAUAUUUUCUAUUCUUCUUGUCCUGCAUCAACUGUUGUUGUCUGCAACUCUGUGCUACAUUAGUUAAGCUGGUUGGCUAUGCCAUUUUGUCAGAAUGGUUUGUUAUGCCCUGUUACCACUAUUUCUCUGACGACAUUACAGGUCAUGGUACUGUUUUGGUUUCACUCUUAUCUACAAUUGCCAAUAUCAUCUGCAAGACUUCUCUGUACCUGCUCCUCUAUUCUGCUGCUUUUUUGCACCCAUACUUAUUUGCUACUGCUUCCUAUGAUACGAUAUACGUACGGUGCUUCCUUCAGUCCAUGGUCUUGCUUGAGAGGAUUUUAGCUUCUUCAACUGCCGAGAUUUUUGGAGUUAGUGAUCUCUUGUGUACAAGUGUUAAUCCAACCGAUUGUAUUGAUUAAGCAUCUUCAAUUUACUACACCAACUACUGCUUCUGUCCUGCACCUUCUGUCAACUUACUAUUCCACAGCUGCCAUCAACUAUUAAUGUCCUGCUACAACACCCUGUACUAUCUUGCUUACUUUUGAUGUUCUAUCUGUUCAACCUCUACAACAAGAUGCUGCUACUUACUCUUUAUGCACUGUCAAUCCUACUUCUCUGGCAACAUUUCAGGUCAUGGUACUCUUGCUUUCUACUACUGCUGUUGCUGUUUUCUUAUAUCAUAGCAUGUGUAUGUGACUGAGUGUAUGUGCAAUCUCAAGUGUUCUUCUUCAAGCCCCCUUGAGCUUGAAGGGGUAAUAGCAUGUGUAUGUGACUGAGUGUAUGUGAGGUGUAAGUAAGUCUGGUUAUGAGAGUGUGCCGUGUGCACGUGUGCUGUGUAGAGAGGAAGAGUGAAAGAGUCGAUUAUAUAUACUCAGGUCCCCUGUAACAGAAGAAUAAUCUUUUCUAAUCAAUAUUAUUUAAACCCUUAAUCAAUGUA